CAGCCAUCUGUUGGAAGUAGGUGGUUAGCGUGUAGGUGUGCCCCUUAGGCAAUCCGGGGGGCUUAGCUGAGGCGUGACGACGAGCUCUCUUUGAGAGCGAAGUGAUUGAUACCCUGCUUCCAGGAAAAGCCACUAAGCUUCAGUCUAGAAUUGACCGUACCGCAAACCGACACAGGUGGGCAGGUAGAAGAUACUAAGGCGCUUGAGAGAACUCAGGAGAAGGAACUCGGCAAAUUGAUACCGUAACUUCGGGAGAAGGUAUGCCUCGGUAGCUUGUAGGAGUACAUCCGAAGGGCGAAGAGGCCGCAGAGAAUCGGUGGCUGCGACUGUUUAUUAAAAACACAGCACUCUGCAAACACGAAAGUGGACGUAUAGGGUGUGACGCCUGCCCGGUGCCGGAAGGUUAAGUGAUGGGGUGCAAGCUCUUGAUCGAAGCCCCGGUAAACGGCGGCCGUAACAAUAACGGUCCUAAGGUAG
RNAcentral lists this ribosomal RNA (477 nucleotides) under uncultured bacterium. Its description in RNAcentral is "bacterial LSU rRNA". It matches the Rfam family "Bacterial large subunit ribosomal RNA", at positions 1488 to 1959 of the family's 2925-position model. The record is from RNAcentral.